ACGUAGGGCGCAAGCGUUAUCCGGAAUUAUUGGGCGUAAAGAGCUCGUAGGCGGUUUGUCGCGUCUGCUGUGAAAUCCCGAGGCUCAACCUCGGGCCUGCAGUGGGUACGGGCAGACUUGAGUGGUGUAGGGGAGACUGGAAUUCCUGGUGUAGCGGUGGAAUGCGCAGAUAUCAGGAGGAACACCGAUGGCGAAGGCAGGUCUCUGGGCACUUACUGACGCUGAGGAGCGAAAGCGUGGGGAGCGAACAGGA
Molecule: ribosomal RNA, 253 nt
Filed under: uncultured prokaryote
Description: partial 16S ribosomal RNA
Rfam family: Bacterial small subunit ribosomal RNA
Source: RNAcentral